RNAcentral lists this non-coding RNA (34 nucleotides) under Mus musculus (house mouse). The record is from RNAcentral. Lineage: Eukaryota; Metazoa; Chordata; Mammalia; Rodentia; Muridae.
UGGCAGAUCUGGCAAUCAGCAGCAGCUGUAGCCA